This 490-nucleotide ribosomal RNA is filed under the name uncultured bacterium. RNAcentral describes it as "partial 16S ribosomal RNA". It matches the Rfam family "Bacterial small subunit ribosomal RNA", at positions 28 to 507 of the family's 1533-position model. The record is from RNAcentral.
GAUGAACGCUAGCGAUAGGCUUAACACAUGCAAGUCGAGGGGCAGCAUGGUCUUAGCUUGCUAAGACUGAUGGCGACCGGCGCACGGGUGCGUAACGCGUAUGCAACUUGCCUCACAGAGGGGGAUAACCCGUCGAAAGACGGACUAAUACCGCGUACACUCUAUUUUGGGCAUCCAAGGUAGAGGAAAUGAAAUUCGCUGUGAGAUAGGCAUGCGUCCCAUUAGCUAGUUGGUGAGGUAACGGCUCACCAAGGCGACGAUGGGUAGGGGAACUGAGAGGUUGAACCCCCACACUGGUACUGAGACACGGACCAGACUCCUACGGGAGGCAGCAGUGAGGAAUAUUGAUCAAUGGGCGAGAGCCUGAACCAGCCAAGUCGCGUGAAGGAUGACUGUCUUAUGGAUUGUAAACUUCUUUUGUAGGGGAAUAAAGAGGGGCACGUGUGCCCCAGUGAAUGUACCCUACGAAUAAGCAUCGGCCAACUCCGUG